UGCUUUCAGUUCAGUGGUAGAAUGCUCGCCUGCCACGCGGGCGCCCGCGGUUCGAUUCCCGCCGAUGCAU
This 70-nucleotide transfer RNA is filed under the name Cordylochernes scorpioides. Its description in RNAcentral is "tRNA-Gly". The record is from RNAcentral. Lineage: Eukaryota; Metazoa; Arthropoda; Arachnida; Pseudoscorpiones; Chernetidae.